AGUGAACGCUGGCGGUAGGCCUAACACAUGCAAGUCGAACGGCAGCACAGUAAGAGCUUGCUCUUACGGGUGGCGAGUGGCGGACGGGUGAGGAAUACAUCGGAAUCUACUUUUUCGUGGGGGAUAACGUAGGGAAAGUUACGCUAAUACCGCAUACGACCUACGGGUGAAAGCAGGGGAUCUUCGGACCUUGCGCGAUUGAAUGAGCCGAUGUCGGAUUAGCUAGUUGGCGGGGUAAAGGCCCACCAAGGCGACGAUCCGUAGCUGGUCUGAGAGGAUGAUCAGCCACACUGGAACUGAGACACGGUCCAGACUCCUACGGGAGGCAGCAGUGGGGAAUAUUGGACAAUGGGCGCAAGCCUGAUCCAGCCAUACCGCGUGGGUGAAGAAGGCCUUCGGGUUGUAAAGCCCUUUUGUUGGGAAAGAAAAGCAGCAGGUUAAUACCCCGCUGUUCUGACGGUACCCAAAGAAUAAGCACCGGCUAACUUCGUG
Molecule: ribosomal RNA, 492 nt
Filed under: uncultured bacterium
Lineage: Bacteria
Description: partial 16S ribosomal RNA
Rfam family: Bacterial small subunit ribosomal RNA
Source: RNAcentral